This 482-nucleotide ribosomal RNA is filed under the name uncultured bacterium. RNAcentral's name for it is "partial 16S ribosomal RNA". It matches the Rfam family "Bacterial small subunit ribosomal RNA", at positions 355 to 852 of the family's 1533-position model. The record is from RNAcentral.
UGGGGAAUAUUGCACAAUGGGCGAAAGCCUGAUGCAGCAACGCCGCGUGAGUGAUGAAGGUCUUCGGAUUGUAAAGCUCUGUCUUUUGGGACGAUAAUGACGGUACCAAAGGAGGAAGCCACGGCUAACUACGUGCCAGCAGCCGCGGUAAUACGUAGGUGGCGAGCGUUGUCCGGAUUUACUGGGCGUAAAGGGUGCGUAGGCGGAUGUUUAAGUGAGAUGUGAAAUACCCGGGCUUAACUUGGGUGCUGCAUUUCAAACUGGAUAUCUAGAGUGCAGGAGAGGAGAAUGGAAUUCCUAGUGUAGCGGUGAAAUGCGUAGAGAUUAGGAAGAACACCAGUGGCGAAGGCGAUUCUCUGGACUGUAACUGACGCUGAGGCACGAAAGCGUGGGUAGCAAACAGGAUUAGAUACCCUGGUAGUCCACGCCGUAAACGAUGAGUACUAGGUGUAGGAGGUAUCGACCCCCUUCUGUGCCGCAGU